This 1308-nucleotide long non-coding RNA is filed under the name Oryctolagus cuniculus (rabbit). Its description in RNAcentral is "lncRNA (ENSOCUG00000033442.1)". Lineage: Eukaryota; Metazoa; Chordata; Mammalia; Lagomorpha; Leporidae. The record is from RNAcentral.
AACUUCAACAUGUUGUACAGGAACCCGCAGUGCCACUAGUGAAACCCGACCUCUCAUCUGGAUGUUACCAUCAAGCGUCAGUACACUUGUCAUUUCACAUGUAUUUAAUGUGAGUUUUUCAGUACUGUAUGUGUUAAUUUCUACCUUUUUUAAUAUUUAAAAUUGCUUUUAAAUAAACAUAUUCUCAGUUGAUCCCAAAUAUCUGAAAUCAAGCCGUUUUGUGAGUGUCCACUAGUCCUUUAAAACAAAAUAUUUGGAGAGCGGGUGCCUGUGUGCUGGUUCAGUCCCCAGAUGCCCACAAGGGACCAAAGCUGGGGUCAAGGAACUCAAUCACUGUGCCGUCAUCGCUGCCUCCCAGGGUCUGCCUUAGCAGGAAGCCGGAGGCAGGAAUGGAGCCAGGGAUCAGACCCAGGCCCACCAGGUGACAACCGCGGUGGCCAACGCCCACCCCCACCCCUUCAGACUGGAGAGCAGGAGGCUUCAUUUGGCUGUGCUGAGGGCGGAUACAUAACACAAGUCGUCCCCUGCGCCCGUCCCAGCUCACCCUGCAUGCCUAACUCUGGCACCUGCUGUGCCUACAAAGGAUGGGCUUUGCUGCCUGGGUCCUCUCCCAUUCCCAGCGUCCACUUCUGCUCCUGUUCACGUGGGGAGGGCAGGGUGCCUGCAUGGCGCGAGGAUUACAUGUUAACAGGUACUGAGCACCCGGUGUGGACUGAGUGCCAGGUGCUUGCCUCUGCCAUGUCGCUGUCACCCCAGCACAGGCCCCCUUCCUGCAGCAUCUCACUCUGUCCUCAGCAAGCCCACGAGAGGCACGGGCCUGGCUUCCCAGAGCAUGGAGAUGGGGCCCAGGCAGUGUGGUCCCCGGCUGAGGGAGCGUCGGCUCCCGAAUCACUUCAGUGGACAAUCCACACGAGUGGCUCUGGACCCAGGGCCACCGCUGGGACUUGCACAGUGAGGAAGACAGCCUGCGUCACCAGGUUCCAGCCGGGGAGAACUGCGGUGGUGGGAGGCGGCCUGAGACCACAGCACGAGAUCCUGCAGCACCGGGCUCGGAGUCCUGCACUCCUCCGUGCAGGCCAAGAAUCUGAACUCCUCCCUUUCCCGGGGGAGCAGCGGGCGCUCAAGGCUUGCCAGGCAGGUGACGGGCGAGUGAGCAAGCGUAAGAGCCGCUGUGGCAGAACAUCAGGAGGCACCUGUACGAAGGCGGAGGGAACCCGGUGUUGCCUGCACACUCAACGCGCUCCUGACGCUGGACACGAGGAGGAUUUCCCUGCACCUCCUCUCGGAUUCGCCGAGGACACCAGCUGA